AGUGCUUCCUUUCCCUCUUGACUUUUUAGCAGUUCUGGGUAAAUAUUGAUUUGCCCCCAGUUUACCUUCUCCCUGAAUGGUCAUUUGCAAACUAAGGAACCAGACUCCGUAAAGAUUUGAUUUUUGUGUUACUUUCCGGCCCUUUCCUCAUCCCCCACCCCCUUCCUCUCUCCAAGUGGCAUUGUAAAACUCACGGUGACAAAGAAAAAGAGUAGGGUUCGAGGCCCCAGUUCCUAGGGACUUGAGGGCGGUUUUACAUACGGGUCAGACACGGCUGGAGGCCAAGGUCAAGUUGAAAGUUGCAGUCUAGUCAGCGUGAGAAAACUGCCUCGCACACUUGGAGACUAAGGCGGCUGCAAAAGGCCCACCGCUCAUCUCCCCUCA
This is an unclassified non-coding RNA of Ictidomys tridecemlineatus (thirteen-lined ground squirrel), 384 nucleotides long. Lineage: Eukaryota; Metazoa; Chordata; Mammalia; Rodentia; Sciuridae. The record is from Ensembl.